UCCACGCCGUAAACUAUGGAUGCUAGCUGUUAGUCGUAUCGACCCGAUUAGUAGCGAAGCUAACGCGUUAAGCAUCCCGCCUGUGGAGUACGAGCGCAAGCUUAAAACAUAAAGGAAUUGACGGGGACCCGCACAAGCGGUGGAGCGUGUUGUUCAAUUCGAUGCAAAGCGAAGAACCUUACCCAGGCUUGACAUCCUUGAAAGGACUACGAAAGUAGACUGUGCCUUUUGGA
Molecule: ribosomal RNA, 233 nt
Filed under: uncultured bacterium
Lineage: Bacteria
Description: partial 16S ribosomal RNA
Rfam family: Bacterial small subunit ribosomal RNA
Source: RNAcentral